RNAcentral lists this ribosomal RNA (140 nucleotides) under Candidatus Moraniibacteriota bacterium. Lineage: Bacteria; Candidatus Moraniibacteriota. The record is from RNAcentral.
CUUGGUGAUUCAAGCGGCAAGGCCACACCUGAUCCCAUCCCGAACUCAGAAGUUAAGCUUGCCUGCGCCGAUGGUAGCCCGCCUAAGUUUAUUUAAAUGUUAAGUAAAUUUGGGCGGGUGAGAGUAGGCCAUCGCCAGGA